UUGAGAGUCGUCUGUACUUUUGGGAUAACGGUCGCUUACAGACUCGCCACUAUUAUUAUUUUAGGAUAAUAGGGUUAAAACCUAAUCUAAAAUCGCUUUCUACAUCCCUGUUGGUCGGGUGGUAAAAAGUUAACUCAAUAGGCCUUUACUAAGCAUGUAGACUUCUUGACUGAAAGUUUUCGGACGGGGGUUCAAUUCCCCCCAUCUCCACCA
Molecule: transfer-messenger RNA, 213 nt
Filed under: Candidatus Thioglobus sp.
Lineage: Bacteria; Pseudomonadati; Pseudomonadota; Gammaproteobacteria; Pseudothioglobaceae (SeqCode)
Description: partial transfer-messenger RNA
Rfam family: transfer-messenger RNA
About the family: Bacterial tmRNA, also known as 10Sa RNA or SsrA, is named for its dual tRNA and mRNA-like properties. Its role is to liberate the mRNA from a stalled ribosome.
Source: RNAcentral